UGGGGAAUAUUGGGCAAUGGGCGAAAGCCUGACCCAGCGACGCCGCGUGGGUGAUGAAGGCCUUCGGGUUGUAAAGCCCUGUCAUGCGGAAAGAACAGUUCUGUAGUUAAUACCUGCAGAAUUUGACGGUACCGCAGGAGGAAGCACCGGCUAACUCCGUGCCAGCAGCCGCGGUAAUACGGAGGGUGCAAGCGUUGUUCGGAAUUAUUGGGCGUAAAGGACGCGUAGGCGGUAAUGAAAGUCAGAUGUGAAAUACUUCGGCUCAACUGAAGAACUGCAUCUGAAACUUCAUAACUAGAGUACAGAAGAGGGAAACGGAAUUCCCGGUGUAGAGGUGAAAUUCGUAGAUAUCGGGAGGAACACCAGUGGCGAAGGCGGUUUCCUGGUCUGAUACUGACGCUGAGGCGUGAAAGUGUGGGGAGCAAACA
Molecule: ribosomal RNA, 428 nt
Filed under: uncultured prokaryote
Description: bacterial SSU rRNA
Rfam family: Bacterial small subunit ribosomal RNA
Source: RNAcentral